Transfer RNA from Camelus ferus (Wild Bactrian camel), 72 nucleotides. It matches the Rfam family "tRNA". Rfam says of the family: Transfer RNA (tRNA) molecules are approximately 80 nucleotides in length. Their secondary structure includes four short double-helical elements and three loops (D, anti-codon, and T loops). Lineage: Eukaryota; Metazoa; Chordata; Mammalia; Artiodactyla; Camelidae. The record is from Rfam.
AGGGGUAUAGCUCAGUGGUAGAGUGCAUGCUUGGUGUGCAGGAGGUCCUGGGUUCAAUCCCCAGUGCCUCUG